GUAGGGAAUAUUGGACAAUGGGCGAAAGCCUGAUCCAGCAAUGCCGCGUGAGUGAUGAAGGCCUUGGGGUUGUAAAGCUCUUUUACCAGGGAUGAUAAUGACAGUACCUGGAGAAUAAGCUCCGGCUAACUCCGUGCCAGCAGCCGCGGUAAUACGGAGGGAGCUAGCGUUGUUCGGAAUUACUGGGCGUAAAGCGCGCGUAGGCGGCGAUUUAAGUCAGAGGUGAAAGCCCGGGGCUCAACCCCGGAAUAGCCUUUGAGACUGGAUUGCUAGAAUCCUGGAGAGGUGAGUGGAAUUCCGAGUGUAGAGGUGAAAUUCGUAGAUAUUCGGAAGAACACCAGUGGCGAAGGCGACUCACUGGCCCAAUACUGACGCUGAGGCGCGAAAGCGUGGGGAGCAAACAGGAUUAGAUACCCCAGUAGUCC
RNAcentral lists this ribosomal RNA (425 nucleotides) under uncultured bacterium. RNAcentral describes it as "partial 16S ribosomal RNA". It matches the Rfam family "Bacterial small subunit ribosomal RNA", at positions 354 to 796 of the family's 1533-position model. The record is from RNAcentral.